This 666-nucleotide ribosomal RNA is filed under the name Flavobacterium sp. B1243. RNAcentral describes it as "bacterial SSU rRNA". It matches the Rfam family "Bacterial small subunit ribosomal RNA", at positions 91 to 755 of the family's 1533-position model. Lineage: Bacteria; Pseudomonadati; Bacteroidota; Flavobacteriia; Flavobacteriales; Flavobacteriaceae. The record is from RNAcentral.
GAGACCGGCGCACGGGUGCGUAACGCGUAUGCAAUCUACCUUUCACAGAGGGAUAGCCCAGAGAAAUUUGGAUUAAUACCUCAUAGUAUAGCAGUUUCGCAUGAAACCACUAUUAAAGUCACAACGGUGAAAGAUGAGCAUGCGUCCCAUUAGCUAGUUGGUAAGGUAACGGCUUACCAAGGCAACGAUGGGUAGGGGUCCUGAGAGGGAGAUCCCCCACACUGGUACUGAGACACGGACCAGACUCCUACGGGAGGCAGCAGUGAGGAAUAUUGGACAAUGGGCGCAAGCCUGAUCCAGCCAUGCCGCGUGCAGGAUGACGGUCCUAUGGAUUGUAAACUGCUUUUAUACGAGAAGAAACCCUCCGACGUGUCGGAGCUUGACGGUAUCGUAAGAAUAAGGAUCGGCUAACUCCGUGCCAGCAGCCGCGGUAAUACGGAGGAUCCAAGCGUUAUCCGGAAUCAUUGGGUUUAAAGGGUCCGUAGGCGGUCAGGUAAGUCAGUGGUGAAAGCCCAUCGCUCAACGGUGGAACGGCCAUUGAUACUGUCUGACUUGAAUUAUUAGGAAGUAACUAGAAUAUGUAGUGUAGCGGUGAAAUGCUUAGAGAUUACAUGGAAUACCAAUUGCGAAGGCAGGUUACUACUAAUGGAUUGACGCUGAUGGACG